Molecule: non-coding RNA, 3035 nt
Organism: Aegilops tauschii subsp. strangulata
Lineage: Eukaryota; Viridiplantae; Streptophyta; Magnoliopsida; Poales; Poaceae
Source: RefSeq, a predicted model, not a curated record
UGUUGGCUAGCCAAGUCGUGGAUGUUGGCUGGUUGCAUAAGUAGUGACAGAUGAUAAGUUGCAUAGAGGGUGAUGAGAAGUUUCAUAGGGGCGGAUCAGACAGUUGCCCACAAGCCUACACAAGUUGUUCAUAUUUUUUGCAUGAGUUGCCCGUGAAAAUUAUUGAAAUCUCCAGAUAUAAUUAUGGAAAACACACAUGAAUUGCUUGUUGAAUGCACUGGAGUUGCACAAAAACACCCCAAAAGUUGCUAACUAUUUUUGUUUGAUAUUCGGGUUGCCUAACGAUCUUAAAAUGCUAGUCAUCCGAGCAUCACCGAUAGAUAACUUCAUAGUGUUUUAGACAACUUAGGAAUAACACAAUGAUAAGCAGCUUCACAAUUGUAGGCAACUAAUUUGCAAAGUUAGACAACUAAGCAGUAAUGAUAGGUAACUAAUUAUCAAUAGCAGGUAACUGUACAUCAAUGAUAGGUUAAUUUCAUAGUAUUGUAGGCAACUGGGCAUCACUGAUAGGCAACCGAAUAUCCAUGAUAAGCAACUGAGCAACCAUGGUAGGCCAGUUGUGAUAAUUUUAACAAAAUUGAUUGAUACACAUAAUGCAAUGAAGUUACUUAUAUGUAGCUCUAAAGGUGCCUCAUAUUUUUGUGUUAUUUUCUCAUUUGUACACAAACCAACCUAAUAGAAAGUCUUACUAGGCAAAAAAAUGAAGUUGCUUUCCUAUAGCACUAAAGUUGCCUCUAUCGUACCCAAAAUUGCCUCGAAAAAAAGUUUGAUGAAACCUAUCUAUAUGAGAUCUAGUUUUGAAGAACUCGUCGCGAGAAACUCAGCUGUGAAAGCCAAAUUAGAUUUCGAUGCUUAAAUCAAAAGUUAUAGGUUUUUAAACUUUUUGGACCUCCAAAUAAAUACACAUGGGACAAGAUUCUUUUUUUGCUGGGUUGCGUCGGACACGUCAACAGCUCUUUCCAUAUUGAAAGAGAUCCCAUCAACGAGCGCUCGGGCGGCCACGUCGAGAAAAAAAAGAGAAGGAAAAAGCCCACCCCACUACCGACGACCGCCGACCGCUCCUCCUCCCACCUUCCCCGAUCCCCAACCUCCCUGGAUCCCGUCGCUGGUGACCGCUGACCUCCGCCGCCGCACGCCUGGCUUCUCCUCCUUCCGUCUCCUUGCUCGUGUCCAGUGUGCAUCGCCGGCCCUCCCAUGGCGCUGUCGCCGCGGCCACCCACUUCUCCUACCUCCCCACGGCGAGGCGUGCCUCCACCGCCACCGCGACCCCAGCCGUGCAUCUCCGGCGUGGCGCCUCCCCACCACCGCCACUACCCCAUCCCGCCCCUACCCCCUCCUCCGUCGCCGCCUGCCGAGCGGACCUCGAUUUCCCUUCAGGAGGAAGGGGUUCUGAGUUCAGGGAGACGGCCAUUGUGCGGGCCAGGGAGACGCGCGGGUCUUGCGGGCGCCGGUGUUCCAUAGCAGUAGAGCGCCGCCAUCGAAUUUUCAAGGAGAUGCGGCCCCUUCCCUGUCCAACUGCAACCAUGGCGUUGUCCAACCUCGUCUGUGCGCGCAGUCCAUUCUUGUUCACUCGCUCGCCAGCAGAGGCCAUCCCCGUCCAGCCCUCCUGUGGUAGGAAGGUCAAGCCCAUCGCAAGCUGCAGUCCACGAUAGUCACCCGGUCCUGCCUCCUUCAUCCUUCCCCACCUCGCCCUCUGCCUCGACCAGCCGGUUGGACAUCUUGUCAAGCUCGAGAACCUCUAUUGCAGAGCUAGCUAAUGGUUCUUCUUUUCCUGCCCCCACAGCUUCCCUUUCAGCCGUUGAAGCUACAGAUAGAGCCCGCAAUGCAGCAGCGUCACCCCAACGGCCAUGGGACGGUCGACGAUGGCUGGGUGUGGUGUGCGUCUCUCCGACGUGCUCGGCGUGCUGCCGAGGGGGCUGCAGUUUGAAGUGGCUGGGUAAUGAAGUUCAGAGAAUGCUUUUUUAGUACAUUCAGAGAAGUUGCUUUCUUGCUUUUUGUGAUAUUUUGGCUACGCAGAUACUUAGUGCAGAGAGGUUGUGACAUUUGGCUCCUCUCAUCCUGAACACUUGCACCACAAUCUCAUCUCAUGGGUAAAAUGACUAUUAGUAAAUUGGCACUAAAAAAUGAAUACAGAAUAAGUACAAAGACAUGAUGACCUCAUCUCACAGGUUCCAUCUCAAUAUAGCUCAAGCUUUUUAGAAACUAAAUUUGACACAAAGCAUUAAAUUGAUAUAGUUGUGAUAGCUUCUGAAGUAAUUUUAUCACUUUUGCAGCUUUGCCAAUUUAUUUGUAAAUGCUUUGUUUUCCACUAAUUUAUUUCGAAAUGCUUUUUUUCCAUAACAAUUAUUUUGGCAUUAGCAAAAUAGAAGUUUUGUCUGGUGCCAAGAGACCAUGCAGGCUGUUUCGUUACUGGAAAAAUGCCUGAAGCAUGAACGCAUAUUUGAUCCGUGGUGUCGUGCUUCGCAUCGGUGACCACCGGGGCUCCUUGGUCCAUGAACAGGUUUGCUCAGUGGCACGCACAAGUCGAGGAAGCUGCAGUUUUCGCUGGAUAAAGUUCAACUUCGUGCCUGGAUAAAGUUCAGUUGUCACUGAAGCUUCUGUUGUUCUCUAUCGCGCGCCUGUAGAUUGUCCAUGCAGGUCAAGUAAAAUUCUCAUGGAAGUUCAAAUAAAAAAGCAGCUGCAGCGCAACCGUCGGUGGCUAUAAUGUGUGGUGAAAACUGAAAUCUGAAACGAAUGUUGCUGGAUAUUAGUAGGCAGCAGAUUUUCUAAGGUUUGCUGGUGAACGCAACAACAGUAGUUUGUGCCAUUGGGGCCGUGCGGCAAGCAGAAAUCUACACAUGGAUGUACUCUCUCUGUCUCUCCUGAAAUUCUAGGGCUAGUCUACUUGUAACUCUAUCUCAUCUAUUUGUAUUUUCUAUCUCACAUACCUGAACAUAGUAGCAAACUAGCAGUGUUGUAUGGUCAGUCUAUGUGAGAGAGUUUGUGUGAACGUGGUGUUUACUUUUCUUCAGGAAGCCAUUUUUAAUAAUGAACUA